CGAUAGCAGAGUGUUAACACCUGCGUCAGAGCCGCUCAGCUCCAGUUCACCUAGCCUGGAGUAGCUUGGAAAGCUGCCCCUACUACACCUACCUGGCCUUCAAGACGGUGCAGUUGGAGAGGAUCCGGCAAACAGACUCCUUGGAGAGGAUCCGAGCAAUUCUGAAUGUCACCAAACUGACAGACAUUAACCAGUUCCCUGAGACAUGACACCCUGAGAGCAGGAUUCUAACCUGCAUUAGGGGCUUUUAACUCAUCUUUAGAAUUACAUUAACUAUUAUUUAACUCAACAGAAGAAGUCAUAGCAGAGGAAGACUGGAGAAUUGCAAAUUCUUGAGAGAGAAGGCUGCUGUGUGCAGGGACAGCCAACACAUGUCAAAGGGAACACUAAUGAGAUACUGGACUUGGUUCCAACAGGUGUGGGAUCAGAUUUGGUGCCAGAAAAGUGCUGUUUCCUUCCAACAUGGAUUCUGGAACAUAUUUCCUGACAUGAAAGCAACUGCCCAAUAGUGUUUGGAAUUAAUAUUUUCUGUUCAUACAAACUGAGAGAGAGAAUUUUCUUUUUUCUGUUGUCUAGGGCUCGUCAGUAGCAGUGUUCAGCUAGCAGAGAGGUGUAGUGUGCUAUAUGAGUAUUUUAUAUUAAAAUAUGAAGUGUGA
Long non-coding RNA from Mastomys coucha (southern multimammate mouse), 656 nucleotides. RefSeq lists it as uncharacterized. Lineage: Eukaryota; Metazoa; Chordata; Mammalia; Rodentia; Muridae. The record is from RefSeq and is a predicted model, not a curated record. The transcript is spliced from 2 exons.